GACGAACGCUGGCGGCGUGCCUAAUACAUGCAAGUAGAACGCUGAAGGAGGAGCUUGCUUCUCUGGAUGAGUUGCGAACGGGUGAGUAACGCGUAGGUAACCUGCCUGGUAGUGGGGGAUAACUAUUGGAAACGAUAGCUAAUACCGCAUAAUAGCAGUUGUUGCAUGAUAACUGUUUGAAAGGUGCAAUUGCACCGCUACCAGAUGGACCUGCGUUGUAUUAGCUAGUUGGUGGGGUAACGGCUCACCAAGGCGACGAUACAUAGCCGACCUGAGAGGGGGAACGGCCACACUGGGACUGAGACACCGGCCAAACUCCUUCGGGAGGCAGCAGUAGGGAAUCUUCGGAAAUGGACGGAAGUCUGACCGAGCAAAGCCGCGUGAGUGAAGGAGGUUUUCGGAUCGUAAAGCUCUGUUGUAAGGGAAGAACGAGUGUGAGAGUAGAAAGUUCACACUGUGACGGUAUCUUAACAGAAAGAGACGGCUAACUACGUG
Molecule: ribosomal RNA, 495 nt
Filed under: uncultured bacterium
Lineage: Bacteria
Description: partial 16S ribosomal RNA
Rfam family: Bacterial small subunit ribosomal RNA
Source: RNAcentral